GCCAGGCGCGGUGGCACACACCUGUAGUCCCAGCUACUCGGGAGGCUGAGGCUGGAGGAUCUCUUGACCCCAGGAGUUCUGGACUGUAGUGCACUAUGCCGAUCGGGUGUCCGCACUAAGUUCGGCAUCAAUAUGGUGACCUCCCGGGAGCGGGGGACCACCAGGUUGCCUAAGGAGGCGUGAACCGGCCCAGGUCAGAAACGGAGCAGGUCAAAACUCCCGUGCUGAUCAGUAGUGGGAUCGCACCUGUGAAUAGCCACUGCACUCCAGCCUGGGCAACACAGUGAGACCCCGUCUCU
This 299-nucleotide signal recognition particle RNA is filed under the name Aotus nancymaae (Ma's night monkey). RNAcentral's name for it is "Metazoan signal recognition particle RNA (ENSANAG00000009367.1)". It matches the Rfam family "Metazoan signal recognition particle RNA". From Rfam's summary of the family: The signal recognition particle (SRP) is a universally conserved ribonucleoprotein. It is involved in the co-translational targeting of proteins to membranes. Lineage: Eukaryota; Metazoa; Chordata; Mammalia; Primates; Aotidae. The record is from RNAcentral.